ACCCCCGUGAGAAUGCCCUAACAGUUCCCUGCCCGGGAACAAGGAGCUGGCAUCAGGCACAUUCCCUUACAGCCCACGACGCCUUGCUUAGCCACACCCUCAAGGGAAUUCAGCAGUGAUAAACAUUAAGCAAUAAGUGAAAACUUGACUUAGUUAAGGCUAAGAGGGCCGGUAAAACUCGUGCCAGCCACCGCGGUUAUACGAGAGGCUCAAGUUGAUAGACUACGGCGUAAAGCGUGGUUAAGGAAAACUAUAAAACUAAAGCCGAAUGCCCUCAGAGCUGUUAUACGCUCAUGAUGGUUAGAAGCCCAAUUACGAAAGUAGCUUUACACAACCUGAACCCACGAAAGCUAUGGCACAAACUGGGAUUAGAUACCCCACUAUGCUUAGCCCUAAACAUCAAUAGUACAAUACACCCACUAUUCGCCCGGGAACUACGAGCACUAGCUUAAAACCCAAAGGACUUGGCGGUGCUUUAGAUCCACCUAGAGGAGCCUGUUCUAGAACCGAUAACCCCCGUUCAACCUCACCCUUCCUUGCUCUUUUCCGCCUAUAUACCGCCGUCGCCAGCUUACCCUAUGAAGGACCCACAGUAAGCAAAAUUGGCACAGCCCAGAACGUCAGGUCGACGUGUAGCGUAUGGAAGGGGAAGAAAUGGGCUACAUUCCCUAACACAGUGAAUACGAAAGAUGCACUGAAACGUGCACCACGAAGGAGGAUUUAGCAGUAAGCAGGAAGUAGAGUGUCCCGCUGAAAUUGGCCCUGAAGCGCGCACACACCGCCCGUCAUUCUCCCCGAGCUUAAAUUUUCAUUUAACUAAAACCCUAAGACUGCUAAGGGGAGGCAAGUCGUAACAUGGUAAGUGUACCGGAAGGUGCACUUGGAACAAAU
Molecule: non-coding RNA, 891 nt
Filed under: Rhynchopelates oxyrhynchus (sharpbeak terapon)
Lineage: Eukaryota; Metazoa; Chordata; Actinopteri; Centrarchiformes; Terapontidae
Description: partial 12S ribosomal RNA
Rfam family: Bacterial small subunit ribosomal RNA
Source: RNAcentral